RNAcentral lists this long non-coding RNA (996 nucleotides) under Chrysolophus pictus (golden pheasant). RNAcentral's name for it is "lncRNA (ENSCPIG00010014737.1)". The record is from RNAcentral. Lineage: Eukaryota; Metazoa; Chordata; Aves; Galliformes; Phasianidae.
AAAAAGAUAAACAUGUGGACAUAAUUCAGGACUUGAAGUUUUUCAAGGCUCUGGCUUCUCCAAAGGUAUCUAAUCUUCCUAGACAACCUUUGGAAAGCAUUGUGUCAGGAAGCAGAGUGGCUGGUGCAGUAUUUGGGCAUCUUCCUAUAUAUGAGGUAAUCACAAGUGCUUCCCACCUUUUGCUGUGGUGUUCAAGCAGCAGAAGUCCUUAGCACUUGUAAAUUAUUAACAUCACGUACUCUGUUGUUAACUGUUUCUCAAUUUAAUUUUCUCACAUGGUCUGACUUACUAUCAACCCAACUCUGUUCUCCAUUUGGUGGAAGCUUGAGAAGCCAGCUGAAGAAAGCAUCCUUCAGAAUCCUCAGUGGAACAAACCUGAGAUGUCUACUCUAACUGAAUUGACAAUGGAGACAGAGCUCAGUGCAGAACAGAAUCAAGACAAGUAAACAUUAUGUUCAUCUUAAGACAAGUACUUUAGCAGAUUCCUUGAGCAUAUAGAAAUAGAAUCUUUACAUCCAUUCCAGUUCUUCAAGCAGCAAAAAAAAUUCUAACAUGAUUAUAACAAGACAUUUACAGAAAAGCCCAUCUCACUCCACUUCUUGAUAGAUAAGAAUGAAAAGCACCUUACUGUGAUUGACUGUUUUUAAAGAUUCAGGGCCAUAAAUCUGCAAAAAUACUUCCAUUGAUGACAUGCAGAUGUCUCUGGAGACUAAGAAAUGCACUAAUUCUGGCUAGGAUUAAGCUAGUUUUCUUCAUAGCAUUCCAUAUGCUACUCUGUUUUGAUUUGUGAUUAAAAAAGCAUGAUAACAGAACUGUGUUGUGGCUAUUGCUAAGAGUUGCCUGUGUCAUCAAGUUGUUUCUUUUCCCCACUCCCAGUGUACAAGAUGGGAGAGACCAUAUCUGCUAUGGCUUACAUGAACAGACCAGAAAUAUCCCACAUCAUAUAAUGUCCUGCUCAGCAAUAAAAGACUGGGAAAAGGAAGAGAAAGGUGAGGU